AGCGCAGGCGGUUUUUAGGUCUGAUGUGAAAGCCCUUGGCUCAACCAAGGAAGUGCAUCGGAAACUGGAGAACUUGAGUGCAGAAGAGGACAGUGGAGCUCCAUGUGUAGCGGUGAAAUGCGUAGAUAUAUGGAAGAACACCAGUGGCGAAGGCGGCUGUCUGGUCUGUAACUGACGCUGAGGCUCGAAAGCAUGGGUAGCGAACA
RNAcentral lists this ribosomal RNA (206 nucleotides) under uncultured bacterium. Its description in RNAcentral is "partial 16S ribosomal RNA". It matches the Rfam family "Bacterial small subunit ribosomal RNA", at positions 568 to 774 of the family's 1533-position model. The record is from RNAcentral.